This 154-nucleotide unclassified non-coding RNA is filed under the name soil metagenome. RNAcentral describes it as "partial internal transcribed spacer 1". The record is from RNAcentral.
CAAGUGACCCCGGUUUUACCACCGGGAUGUUCAUAACCCUUUGUUGUCUGACUCUGUUGCCUCCGGGGCGACCCUGCCUUCGGGCGGGGGCUCCGGGUGGACACUUCAAACUCUUGCGUAACUUUGCAGUCUGAGUAAAUUAAUUAACAAAUUA